This 468-nucleotide ribosomal RNA is filed under the name uncultured bacterium. RNAcentral's name for it is "partial 16S ribosomal RNA". It matches the Rfam family "Bacterial small subunit ribosomal RNA", at positions 28 to 507 of the family's 1533-position model. The record is from RNAcentral.
GACGAACGCUGGCGGCGUGCUUAACACAUGCAAGUCGAACGGAAAGGCCCUGCUUUUGUGGGGUGCUCGAGUGGCGAACGGGUGAGUAACACGUGAGUAACCUGCCCUUGACUUUGGGAUAACUUCAGGAAACUGGGGCUAAUACCGGAUAUGAGCUCCUGCUGCAUGGUGGGGGUUGGAAAGUUUCGGCGGUUGGGGAUGGACUCGCGGCUUAUCAGCUUGUUGGUGGGGUAGUGGCUUACCAAGGCUUUGACGGGUAGCCGGCCUGAGAGGGUGACCGGCCACAUUGGGACUGAGAUACGGCCCAGACUCCUACGGGAGGCAGCAGUGGGGAAUAUUGCACAAUGGGCGGAAGCCUGAUGCAGCAACGCCGCGUGCGGGAUGACGGCCUUCGGGUUGUAAACCGCUUUCGCCUGUGACGAAGCGUGAGUGAUGGUAAUGGGUAAAGAAGCACCGGCUAACUACGUG